AAGUAACAAGGGUUGCUUAUACUAUUUUAAUGUAUAUGGGAGUGCCUAUGAAACAGAUUGACAGGUUGGUCAUUCUAAGUUCUAUGGUGAUACGGUCACAUAGUAGUGAAAAUUGCAGCUAAUGAGAUGCUGAUUUUCUUUGUAAAUUGAUUUAUUUGAUGGCCCAGAGAUAAUGAUUAGUUGAUUUUAAUUGAUGCUUUUAAUUAUUUUAUCAUUUCGUUUACGCUUGGAUUAACGGUCAAAAUUCUAGAUAGACCUUACCAUAAUGUAUUUGAAUAGAUUAAUAAUUGUCAAACUUGUGUUAUAUAUUUUUAUGAUUUUUGUUUAGUGCCUCUUUUGUAGUUAUAAAUAUCAAGAGUUUGAAGUUGAAAGGAUAAUUGUUAAUUUAGAUUUUAAGAGUAAUCUUUUUGCAAGUUUUCCACAACUAUUCACGACGUAAAUUGAUAAAAUUACAUGGUAUAGCAAUUAUCAUUAUUUUUUUUUUUUAUUAUUAUUAGUUUAGAUUUUUUUAAGUAGUUUUAGUUAAAAGAAAAAGUUUAUUUUUUAAUGUUCACAUUGCCUCCCCUUAUUU
RNAcentral lists this long non-coding RNA (571 nucleotides) under Mytilus galloprovincialis (Mediterranean mussel). Lineage: Eukaryota; Metazoa; Mollusca; Bivalvia; Mytilida; Mytilidae. The record is from RNAcentral.